This 406-nucleotide ribosomal RNA is filed under the name uncultured bacterium. RNAcentral describes it as "partial 16S ribosomal RNA". It matches the Rfam family "Bacterial small subunit ribosomal RNA", at positions 30 to 526 of the family's 1533-position model. The record is from RNAcentral.
AUUGAACGCUGGCGGCAGGCCUAACACAUGCAAGUCGAACGAGUGGCGGACGGGUGAGUAAUGUCUGGGAAACUGCCUGAUGGAGGGGGAUAACUACUGGAAACGGUAGCUAAUACCGCAUACCAUCAGAUGUGCCCAGAUGGGAUUAGCUUGUUGGUGGGGUAACGUCUCACCAAGGCGACGAUCCCGAGCUGGACUGAGAGGAUGACCAGCCACACUGAAGCUGAGACACGGUCCAGACUCCUUCGGGAUGCACCAGUGUGGAAUAUUUCACAAUGGGCGAAAGCCUGAUGCAGCCAUGCCGCGUGUAUGAAGAAGGCCUUCGGGUUGUAAAGUACUUUCAGCAGGGAGGCGUUACCCGCAGAAGAAGCACCGGCUAACUCCGUGCAAGCCGCCGCGGUAAUAC